ACGAAACACAAGUUCAGAGGGUUCAAGUGGAAGCGUGGAAAUUCAUCAGGCACCCUACAUAAAUUUGACAAUAAGGGUCUGGAUCUUCUUCUUCAGCGCCCUUGUGAUGGAUUGAGAAUCCGAAACUAAAUGGACGGGGCUCUGGAGGUGGUGUGCGACUGAGCGUCUUCAAAGACAUCCAAAUCCUCGAGCUUGUCAGGCUUCAGGCACUGAGGGAUGUACGCAGUGUAGAUGGCGUCCAUGUUUGGCGUUUCCUUCAGCUCGUGCUGCGCCACCUCCAGAGGGGUGUUGGCGAAUGCUGGGUAAAAGCGCAUAUGGCAGAUGUAGGCAAAGAUGAUGCUGAUCGGGAGGAGUGGCACAAGGAUAGGUGAGUAAUAGAACUUUUUCAGGCCAAUGACGCCAAUCAUGGUGGCCUGGUAAAGGAGUAGAGCU
RNAcentral lists this long non-coding RNA (432 nucleotides) under Setaria italica (foxtail millet). RNAcentral describes it as "long non-coding RNA (SITA_LNC000858)". Lineage: Eukaryota; Viridiplantae; Streptophyta; Magnoliopsida; Poales; Poaceae. The record is from RNAcentral.